UGACCUCAAAUCAGGUAGGACUACCCGCUGAACUUAAGCAUAUCAAUAAGCGGAGGAAAAGAAACUAACAAGGAUUCCCCUAGUAACUGCGAGUGAAGAGGGAAAAGCUCAAAUUUAAAAUCUGGCGGUCUUUGGCUGUCCGAGUUGUAAUUUAGAGAAGUG
RNAcentral lists this ribosomal RNA (162 nucleotides) under Marasmius cafeyen. RNAcentral's name for it is "partial large subunit ribosomal RNA". It matches the Rfam family "Eukaryotic large subunit ribosomal RNA", at positions 1 to 160 of the family's 3401-position model. Lineage: Eukaryota; Fungi; Basidiomycota; Agaricomycetes; Agaricales; Marasmiaceae. The record is from RNAcentral.